RNAcentral lists this ribosomal RNA (148 nucleotides) under Botryosphaeria dothidea. RNAcentral's name for it is "5.8S ribosomal RNA". It matches the Rfam family "5.8S ribosomal RNA". Rfam says of the family: 5.8S ribosomal RNA (5.8S rRNA) is a component of the large subunit of the eukaryotic ribosome. It is transcribed by RNA polymerase I as part of the 45S precursor that also contains 18S and 28S rRNA. Lineage: Eukaryota; Fungi; Ascomycota; Dothideomycetes; Botryosphaeriales; Botryosphaeriaceae. The record is from RNAcentral.
CAACGGAUCUCUUGGUUCUGGCAUCGAUGAAGAACGCAGCGAAAUGCGAUAAGUAAUGUGAAUUGCAGAAUUCAGUGAAUCAUCGAAUCUUUGAACGCACAUUGCGCCCUUUGGUAUUCCGAAGGGCAUGCCUGUUCAAGCGUCAUUA